ACAACCGUAGUGCAGUGGCUAGCGCAGCAAUCCAAUACCCUUGAGGUCUUGGGUUCAAAUCCCCACGUCUGCA
This 73-nucleotide transfer RNA is filed under the name Hordeum vulgare. RNAcentral's name for it is "tRNA-OTHER". The record is from RNAcentral. Lineage: Eukaryota; Viridiplantae; Streptophyta; Magnoliopsida; Poales; Poaceae.